RNAcentral lists this non-coding RNA (23 nucleotides) under Arabidopsis thaliana (thale cress). Lineage: Eukaryota; Viridiplantae; Streptophyta; Magnoliopsida; Brassicales; Brassicaceae. The record is from RNAcentral.
CCUAUUUAGGCGGGCCUUAUCUA